Long non-coding RNA from Ictalurus punctatus (channel catfish), 834 nucleotides. The record is from Ensembl. Lineage: Eukaryota; Metazoa; Chordata; Actinopteri; Siluriformes; Ictaluridae.
GAUGGACAGUGCAAGGAAAGGGCAAAUUUCACAUACACAGCUAGAGGAAGGGAUAACAGUGGACAAAAGGCAAGACUAGCAGUCUGAAUGGAGAAUGACAAUAGUCUGAUGGAUAACAAAGGCAUUGUGCCAGACUGCACUCUGCUUAUGUUUCAGGUGGCUGCCGGAGGAUCAGCUGGACUACACAAUAAUGCAAAGAGCAGGGGGGCCAGGAAAAGAUACAGCAAGAAGAAGAAGAGAACUGAAAGGGCUGAAAGCUACAGAGGUUACAGGAAACCUGGAGCCUAUCCCAGAGAGCAUCGGGCACAAGGCGGGGUACACCCUGGACAGGGUGCCAAUCCAUCACAGAGCACAAUCACAUACACAUCCAUUCAUACACUACAGACACUUUGGAAAUGCCAAUCCCCAAUGUCUUUUGACUGGGGGGAGUACCCGGAGGAAACCCCCACAGCACAGGGAGAACAUGCAAACUCCACACACAUAGGGCCACGGUGGGAAUCAAACCCCCAAUCCUGGAAGUGUGAGGCAAACGUGCUAACCACUAAGACACCAUGCCCCAAAACUGAAAUAUCACUUACAUAUAGUAUUACAGCCUCAAAUCUUUUUGAGUAUGAUGCGACACGCUUUGGAUUUGGGGAUUCUCUGCCAUUCUUCUCUGCAGAUCCUCUCAAGCUCUGUCAGGUUGACUGGGGACCGUUGGUGAACAGUAAUUUUCAGGUCUUUCCAGAGAUGUUCGAUGGCCACUCAAGGACAUUCACAGAGUUGUCCCUAAGUCACUGUUGCAUUGUCUUGGCUGUGGUCAUUGUCCUGUUGGAAGGUGAACUUUCGGCCCAG